Long non-coding RNA from Oncorhynchus kisutch (coho salmon), 716 nucleotides. RefSeq lists it as uncharacterized. The transcript is spliced from 3 exons. Lineage: Eukaryota; Metazoa; Chordata; Actinopteri; Salmoniformes; Salmonidae. The record is from RefSeq and is a predicted model, not a curated record.
UAUUUCUGCCUAUGGUACACAUGAUGGCGCCAUUGAGCAACAUAAUGCAUGAGUGGCUAGCCUAUAGGCCAGCCAGGGAUACUCCAUUACUGUCAGGAGAUAAACUGUAAUAGAUCAACAAUCAGCACUGUUCAUCAACAAACACACACACGAACAUGCAUGCACGCACACACACACACGUAAACACACACUGAGUCUGGAACUUGCCCGAGUCUUUCCCGGUAGUUCAGAUGUUGUAUGGGUGUGUGUGUGUGUGUGUUAAUAUGUGUGUGUGCGUGUGUGUGUGGUAUGGGUAUGUUGCGCCCUAGACUAUUGCAGGAGUACUCUAGUGUAAGUGGUCCAACAGAUUUGCUAGGUGGUAAAGAUCUGGAUGGACUAUUUCUACUUUGAUCUCAUUUCUUGUAUUUCUUUGGUUCUCUGGGAAUAUGGUUUAUACUGCUACUGGUGUCUGGAGCUCUACCCCUCUGCCCUAUCAGACGCUCAGAAGUCCAUCCAGCUCAACCCUGAUUGGCCAAAGGGAUACUUCCUCAAGGGUAGUGCACUGAAGGGGUUGAAGUUUUCCUUAAGUGGCCUUCUGAAUAGGAAUGGACCAGGGUUUUAGGCUGCGUGUUGCUACUGAUGUCCACCUGACAGCACAGUAGAGAUCACAAUGUCCAGGGGGUGGAGCUGGAGAACACCAGGCUGGUAAUCAGGUACCCAGACCACUGGAUGCAGAG